GACGAACGCUGGCGGCGUGCUUAACACAUGCAAGUCGAACGGAAAGGCCCUGCUUUUGUGGGGUGCUCGAGUGGCGAACGGGUGAGUAACAAGUGAGUAACCUGCCCUUGACUUUGGGAUAACUUCAGGAAACUGGGGCUAAUACCGGAUAGGAGCUCCUGCUGCAUGGUGGGGGUUGGAAAGUUUCGGCGGUUGGGGAUGGACUCGCGGCUUAUCAGCUUGUUGGUGGGGUAGUGGCUUACCAAGGCUUUGACGGGUAGCCGGCCUGGGGGGGUGACCGGACACAUUGGGGCUGAGAUACGGCCCAGACUCCUACGGGAGGCAGCAGUGGGGAAUAUUGCACAAUGGGCGGAAGCCUGAUGCAGCAACGCCGCGUGCGGGAUGACGGCCUUCGGGUUGUAAACCGCUUUCGCCUGUGACGAAGCGUGAGUGACGGUAAUGGGUAAAGAAGCACCGGCUAACUACGUG
RNAcentral lists this ribosomal RNA (468 nucleotides) under uncultured bacterium. Its description in RNAcentral is "partial 16S ribosomal RNA". It matches the Rfam family "Bacterial small subunit ribosomal RNA", at positions 28 to 507 of the family's 1533-position model. The record is from RNAcentral.